UGAACCUGCGGAAGGAUCAUUAUUGAAUAACUAUGGUGGGUUGUCGCUGGCUUCUUGAAAGCAUGUGCACACCUGCUGUCUUUAUCUAUCCCAUUGUGCACCAUUUGUAGUCUUGGGGGGAGAGCAGUCAAUCUCCCAAGUGUGAGCUUUUGAGCCCCUUCCAAGUCUAUGUCUUUACCACAGACGUUGUAGUAUGUCACAGAAUGUAAUCAUUGGGCCUUUGUGCCUAUAGAACUCUAUACAACUUUCAGCAACGGAUCUCUUGGCUCUCGCAUCGAUGAAGAACGCAGCGAAAUGCGAUAAGUAAUGUGAAUUGCAGAAUUCAGUGAAUCAUCGAAUCUUUGAACGCACCUUGCGCUUCUUGGUAUUCCGAGGAGCAUGCCUGUUUGAGUGUCAUUAAAUUCUCAAUCCCUUCCACUUCUUUUUGUAAGCUGGCUGUGGCUUGGAUAUUGGGGGUUUCUGCGGGCCUUGUUAUGUUGAGGUCAGCUCCCCUGAAAUACAUUAGCAGAACUGUUUGCGGUCUGUCACUGGUGUGAUAAUUAUCUGCACCAAGGCUGCUUUCUGUCUUGUUCAGCUUCUAACUGUCUUUUUGGACAACUAUUGAACAUUUGACCUCAAAUCAGGUAGGACUACCCG
RNAcentral lists this ribosomal RNA (636 nucleotides) under Lepiota alba. RNAcentral's name for it is "eukaryotic LSU rRNA". The stretch from base 243 to 396 matches the Rfam family "5.8S ribosomal RNA". Lineage: Eukaryota; Fungi; Basidiomycota; Agaricomycetes; Agaricales; Agaricaceae. The record is from RNAcentral.